This 429-nucleotide ribosomal RNA is filed under the name Acidobacteriota bacterium. Its description in RNAcentral is "Acidobacteria bacterium partial 16S ribosomal RNA". It matches the Rfam family "Bacterial small subunit ribosomal RNA", at positions 355 to 776 of the family's 1533-position model. The record is from RNAcentral. Lineage: Bacteria; Pseudomonadati; Acidobacteriota.
UGGGGAAUUUUGGACAAUGGGGGAAACCCUGAUCCAGCCAUCCCGCGUGUGCGAUGAAGGCCUUCGGGUUGUAAAGCACUUUUGGCAGGAAAGAAACGUCAUGGGUUAAUACCCCGUGAAACUGACGGUACCUGCAGAAUAAGCACCGGCUAACUACGUGCCAGCAGCCGCGGUAAUACGUAGGGUGCAAGCGUUAAUCGGAAUUACUGGGCGUAAAGCGUGCGCAGGCGGUUCGGAAAGAAAGAUGUGAAAUCCCAGAGCUCAACUUUGGAACUGCAUUUUUAACUACCGGGCUAGAGUGUGUCAGAGGGAGGUGGAAUUCCGCGUGCAGCAGUGAAAUGCGUAGAUAUGCGGAGGAACACCGAUGGCGAAGGCAGCCUCCUGGGAUAACACUGACGCUCAUGCACGAAAGCGUGGGGAGCAAACAGG